This 538-nucleotide ribosomal RNA is filed under the name Trichoderma asperellum. Its description in RNAcentral is "eukaryotic LSU rRNA". The stretch from base 149 to 302 matches the Rfam family "5.8S ribosomal RNA". Lineage: Eukaryota; Fungi; Ascomycota; Sordariomycetes; Hypocreales; Hypocreaceae. The record is from RNAcentral.
CCAAACUGUUGCCUCGGCGGGGUCACGCCCCGGGUGCGUCGCAGCCCCGGAACCAGGCGCCCGCCGGAGGAACCAACCAAACUCUUUCUGUAGUCCCCUCGCGGACGUUAUUUCUUACAGCUCUGAGCAAAAAUUCAAAAUGAAUCAAAACUUUCAACAACGGAUCUCUUGGUUCUGGCAUCGAUGAAGAACGCAGCGAAAUGCGAUAAGUAAUGUGAAUUGCAGAAUUCAGUGAAUCAUCGAAUCUUUGAACGCACAUUGCGCCCGCCAGUAUUCUGGCGGGCAUGCCUGUCCGAGCGUCAUUUCAACCCUCGAACCCCUCCGGGGGAUCGGCGUUGGGGAUCGGGACCCCUCACACGGGUGCCGGCCCCUAAAUACAGUGGCGGUCUCGCCGCAGCCUCUCCUGCGCAGUAGUUUGCACAACUCGCACCGGGAGCGCGGCGCGUCCACGUCCGUAAAACACCCAACUUUCUGAAAUGUUGACCUCGGAUCAGGUAGGAAUACCCGCUGAACUUAAGCAUAUCAAUAAGCGGAGGAA